GGGUUGUGAGGUUAAGCGACUAAGCGUACACGGUGGAUGCCCUGGCAGUCAGAGGCGAUGAAGGGCGUGCUAAUCUGCGAUAAGCGCCGGUAAGGUGAUAUGAACCGUUAUAACCGGCGAUACCCGAAUGGGGAAACCCAGUGUGACUCGUCACACUAUCAUUAACUGAAUCCAUAGGUUAAUGAGGCGAACCGGGGGAACUGAAACAUCUAAGUACCCCGAGGAAAAGAAAUCAACCGAGAUUCCCCCAGUAGCGGCGAGCGAACGGGGAGGAGCCCAGAGCCUGAAUCAGCAUGUGUGUUAGUGGAAGCGUCUGGAAAGGCGCGCGAUACAGGGUGACAGCCCCGUACACAAAAGCGCAUGUGUUGUGAGCUCGAUGAGUAGGGCGGGACACGUGGUAUCCUGUCUGAAUAUGGGGGGACCAUCCUCCAAGGCUAAAUACUCCUGACUGACCGAUAGUGAACCAGUACCGUGAGGGAAAGGCGAAAAGAACCCCGGCGAGGGGAGUGAAAAAGAACCUGAAACCGUGUACGUACAAGCAGUGGGAGCACCCUUCGGGGUGUGACUGCGUACCUUUUGUAUAAUGGGUCAGCGACUUAUAUUCUGUAGCAAGGUUAACCGAAUAGGGGAGCCGGAGGGAAACCGAGUCUUAAUUGGGCGUUAAGUUGCAGGGUAUAGACCCGAAACCCGGUGAUCUAGCCAUGGGCAGGUUGAAGGUUGGGUAACACUAACUGGAGGACCGAACCGACUAAUGUUGAAAAAUUAGCGGAUGACCUGUGGCUGGGGGUGAAAGGCCAAUCAAACCGGGAGAUAGCUGGUUCUCCCCGAAAGCUAUUUAGGUAGCGCCUCGUGAAUUCAUCUCCGGGGGUAGAGCACUGUUUCGGCUAGGGGGCCAUCCCGGCUUACCAACCCGAUGCAAACUGCGAAUACCGGAGAAUGUUAUCACGGGAGACACACGGCGGGUGCUAACGUCCGUCGUGAAGAGGGAAACAACCCAGACCGCCAGCUAAGGUCCCAAAGUCAUGGUUAAGUGGGAAACGAUGUGGGAAGGCCCAGACAGCCAGGAUGUUGGCUUAGAAGCAGCCAUCAUUUAAAGAAAGCGUAAUAGCUCACUGGUCGAGUCGGCCUGCGCGGAAGAUGUAACGGGGCUAAACCAUGCACCGAAGCUGCGGCAGCGACACUCAGGUGUUGUUGGGUAGGGGAGCGUUCUGUAAGCCUGUGAAGGUGUGUCGUGAGGCAUGCUGGAGGUAUCAGAAGUGCGAAUGCUGACAUAAGUAACGAUAAAGCGGGUGAAAAGCCCGCUCGCCGGAAGACCAAGGGUUCCUGUCCAACGUUAAUCGGGGCAGGGUGAGUCGACCCCUAAGGCGAGGCCGAAAGGCGUAGUCGAUGGGAAACGGGUUAAUAUUCCCGUACUUGGUGUUACUGCGAAGGGGGGACGGAGAAGGCUAUGUUGGCCGGGCGACGGUUGUCCCGGUUUAAGCGUGUAGGCUGGUUUUCCAGGCAAAUCCGGAAAAUCAAGGCUGAGGCGUGAUGACGAGGCACUACGGUGCUGAAGCAACAAAUGCCCUGCUUCCAGGAAAAGCCUCUAAGCAUCAGGUAACAUCAAAUCGUACCCCAAACCGACACAGGUGGUCAGGUAGAGAAUACCAAGGCGCUUGAGAGAACUCGGGUGAAGGAACUAGGCAAAAUGGUGCCGUAACUUCGGGAGAAGGCACGCUGACACGUAGGUGAAGUGAUUUACUCACGGAGCUGAAGUCAGUCGAAGAUACCAGCUGGCUGCAACUGUUUAUUAAAAACACAGCACUGUGCAAACACGAAAGUGGACGUAUACGGUGUGACGCCUGCCCGGUGCCGGAAGGUUAAUUGAUGGGGUCAGCGCAAGCGAAGCUCCUGAUCGAAGCCCCGGUAAACGGCGGCCGUAACUAUAACGGUCCUAAGGUAGCGAAAUUCCUUGUCGGGUAAGUUCCGACCUGCACGAAUGGCGUAAUGAUGGCCAGGCUGUCUCCACCCGAGACUCAGUGAAAUUGAACUCGCUGUGAAGAUGCAGUGUACCCGCGGCAAGACGGAAAGACCCCGUGAACCUUUACUAUAGCUUGACACUGAACAUUGAGCCUUGAUGUGUAGGAUAGGUGGGAGGCUUUGAAGCGUGGACGCCAGUCUGCGUGGAGCCGACCUUGAAAUACCACCCUUUAAUGUUUGAUGUUCUAACGUGGACCCGUAAUCCGGGUUGCGGACAGUGUCUGGUGGGUAGUUUGACUGGGGCGGUCUCCUCCUAAAGAGUAACGGAGGAGCACGAAGGUUGGCUAAUCCUGGUCGGACAUCAGGAGGUUAGUGCAAUGGCAUAAGCCAGCUUGACUGCGAGCGUGACGGCGCGAGCAGGUGCGAAAGCAGGUCAUAGUGAUCCGGUGGUUCUGAAUGGAAGGGCCAUCGCUCAACGGAUAAAAGGUACUCCGGGGAUAACAGGCUGAUACCGCCCAAGAGUUCAUAUCGACGGCGGUGUUUGGCACCUCGAUGUCGGCUCAUCACAUCCUGGGGCUGAAGUAGGUCCCAAGGGUAUGGCUGUUCGCCAUUUAAAGUGGUACGCGAGCUGGGUUUAGAACGUCGUGAGACAGUUCGGUCCCUAUCUGCCGUGGGCGCUGGAGAACUGAGGGGGGCUGCUCCUAGUACGAGAGGACCGGAGUGGACGCAUCACUGGUGUUCGGGUUGUCAUGCCAAUGGCACUGCCCGGUAGCUAAAUGCGGAAGAGAUAAGUGCUGAAAGCAUCUAAGCACGAAACUUGCCCCGAGAUGAGUUCUCCCUGAGACUUAGAGUCUCCUGAAGGAACGUUGAAGACGACGACGUUGAUAGGCCGGGUGUGUAAGCGCAGCGAUGCGUUGAGCUAACCGGUACUAAUGAACCGUGAGGCUUAACCUUACAACGCCGAAG
Molecule: ribosomal RNA, 2925 nt
Filed under: Salmonella enterica subsp. enterica serovar Abony str. 0014
Lineage: Bacteria; Pseudomonadati; Pseudomonadota; Gammaproteobacteria; Enterobacterales; Enterobacteriaceae
Description: bacterial LSU rRNA
Rfam family: Bacterial large subunit ribosomal RNA
Source: RNAcentral